UUCUUGUUUAGCUUCUGGAGUAUCUGUUUACGAUAAUUAUAGCAACACUAAGGAAUUUUGAAGAAUAUACCUCUUAUAGAGAACAAAGUAAUAGGGAAGUCGAUUAUGCUUGUCAGACCCAAAAUUAAUUUACGAAUGGAAAAGAACUUAUUUUUUACAAUUGUGACAGGAGCGACACCAGAGGAUUUAAUUGCUCAUGUAAAAUGAGAAAUAUUAAGUCUGGAGAAAGCAGAUGCAUCAAGGCUAACAUGCCCCUCAAGAAUUUUAGUUAAUGUUUUAAAGAAUAGUAAUAACAUUGCAUUAAUUUUUAUAUUCCUAGACUAAUUCAUAAUUUUAAUACUUUGUAGCAUCAGUUGUGAUUAGAAGUGCUAGUUUACAGACCAAGCUUGAUGGAUUUAGUUUCUUCUCUACCAUUUUAGUUUUAAGUUGUUGAUAUAAUAUAAUAUAAUACA
Anthonomus grandis grandis is the source of this 452-nucleotide long non-coding RNA. RefSeq lists it as uncharacterized. The record is from RefSeq and is a predicted model, not a curated record. NCBI's taxonomy places the organism in Eukaryota, Metazoa, Arthropoda, Insecta, Coleoptera, Curculionidae. The transcript is spliced from 3 exons.